UACGGAGGAUGCGAGCGUUAUCCGGAUUUAUUGGGUUUAAAGGGUGCGUAGGCGGCUUUUAAGUUCAGCGGUGAAAUUUUGCAGCUUAACUGUAACAGUGCCGUUGAUACUGGGGAGCUAGGAUUUGGUUGCUGUGGGUGGAAUGUGUGGUGUAGCGGUGAAAUGCUUAGAGAUCACACAGAAUAUCGAUUGCGAAGGCAGCUCACAAAGCCAAGAUUGACGCUGAGGCACGAAAGUGUGUGGAUCAAACAGGA
This 254-nucleotide ribosomal RNA is filed under the name uncultured prokaryote. Its description in RNAcentral is "partial 16S ribosomal RNA". It matches the Rfam family "Bacterial small subunit ribosomal RNA", at positions 524 to 777 of the family's 1533-position model. The record is from RNAcentral.